AGUGAACGCUGGCGGUAGGCCUAACACAUGCAAGUCGAACGGCAGCACAGUAAGGGCUUGCUCUUACGGGUGGCGAGUGGCGGACGGGUGAGGAAUACAUCGGAAUCUACUUUUUCGUGGGGGAUAACGUAGGGAAACUUACGCUAAUACCGCAUACUACCUACGGGUGAAAGCAGGGGAUCUUCGGACCUUGCGCGAUUGAAUGAGCCGAUGUCGGAUUAGCUAGUUGGCGGGGUAAAGGCCCACCAAGGCGACGAUCCGUAGCUGGUCUGAGAGGAUGAUCAGCCACACUGGAACUGAGACACGGUCCAGACUCCUACGGGAGGCAGCAGUGGGGAAUAUUGGACAAAGGGCGCAAGCCUGAUCCAGCCAUGCCGCGUGGGUGAAGAAGGCCUUCGGGUUGUAAAGCCCUUUUGUUGGGAAAGAAAAGCAGCAGGUUAAUACACGGCUGUUCUGACGGUACCCAAAGAAUAAGCACCGGCUAACUUCGUG
Molecule: ribosomal RNA, 492 nt
Filed under: uncultured bacterium
Lineage: Bacteria
Description: partial 16S ribosomal RNA
Rfam family: Bacterial small subunit ribosomal RNA
Source: RNAcentral